UUGCCCAUUCUUCAAAUCGUUGAAAACACAGCAAAACAGUGAAGAAAAAGAAAAAGAACAAAGAAAGAGAGAAACGACUUACCAUUUAUCUAGAGAGAGCGAGAAAUAGUGAGUUCGUAUCCUUUUCUUCCCCAGUUGGAUAUCUUCAAGCGUUUUGCACUACGGAGUCACGAUUCACGGAGGCCGACGGUUGAAAAAUGAAAGGCCUCGGACGGCAGGCGGAGUCACGGAGGCUAGAGAGCGGGCGAUUGAAAAAUGAAGAUGAAAUUGAAAAUUUUGAAUUGAUUCUGGG
This 292-nucleotide long non-coding RNA is filed under the name Olea europaea (common olive). Its description in RNAcentral is "long non-coding RNA (OEUR_LNC001301)". Lineage: Eukaryota; Viridiplantae; Streptophyta; Magnoliopsida; Lamiales; Oleaceae. The record is from RNAcentral.